RNAcentral lists this ribosomal RNA (429 nucleotides) under Actinomycetes bacterium. RNAcentral describes it as "Actinobacteria bacterium partial 16S ribosomal RNA". It matches the Rfam family "Bacterial small subunit ribosomal RNA", at positions 355 to 776 of the family's 1533-position model. The record is from RNAcentral. Lineage: Bacteria; Bacillati; Actinomycetota; Actinomycetes.
UAGGGAAUCUUCCGCAAUGGGCGAAAGCCUGACGGAGCAACGCCGCGUGAGUGAUGAAGGUCUUCGGAUCGUAAAACUCUGUUAUUAGGGAAGAACAAAUGUGUAAGUAACUAUGCACGUCUUGACGGUACCUAAUCAGAAAGCCACGGCUAACUACGUGCCAGCAGCCGCGGUAAUACGUAGGUGGCAAGCGUUAUCCGGAAUUAUUGAGCGUAAAGCGCGCGUAGGCGGUUUUUUAAGUCUGAUGUGAAAGCCCACGGCUCAACCGUGGAGGGUCAUUGGAAACUGGAAAACUUGAGUGCAGAAGAGGAAAGUGGAAUUCCAUGUGUAGCGGUGAAAUGCGCAGAGGUAUGGAGGAACACCAGUGGCGAAGGCGACUUUCUGGUCUGUAACUGACGCUGAUGUGCGAAAGCGUGGGGAUCAAACAGG